RNAcentral lists this ribosomal RNA (985 nucleotides) under Streptomyces cavourensis. Its description in RNAcentral is "bacterial SSU rRNA". It matches the Rfam family "Bacterial small subunit ribosomal RNA", at positions 256 to 1226 of the family's 1533-position model. Lineage: Bacteria; Bacillati; Actinomycetota; Actinomycetes; Kitasatosporales; Streptomycetaceae. The record is from RNAcentral.
GGUAAUGGCCUACCAAGGCGACGACGGGUAGCCGGCCUGAGAGGGCGACCGGCCACACUGGGACUGAGUUACACGGCCCAGAACGCUCCUACGGGAGGCAGCAGUGGGGAAUAUUGCACAAUGGGCGAAAGCCUGAUGCAGCGACGCCGCGUGAGGGAUGACGGCCUUCGGGUUGUAAACCUCUUUCAGCAGGGAAGAAGCGCAAGUGACGGUACCUGCAGAAGAAGCGCCGGCUAACUACGUGCCAGCAGCCGCGGUAAUACGUAGGGCGCAAGCGUUGUCCGGAAUUAUUGGGCGUAAAGAGCUCGUAGGCGGCUUGUCACGUCGGAUGUGAAAGCCCGGGUCGAGCUUAACCCCGGGUCUGCAUUCGAUACGGGCUAGCUAGAGUGUGGUAGGGGAGAUCGGAAUUCCUGGUGUAGCGGUGAAAUGCGCAGAUAUCAGGAGGAACAUACCGGUGGCGAAGGCGGAUCUCUGGGCCAUUACUGACGCUGAGGAGCGAAAGCGUGGGGAGCGAACAGGAUUAGAUACCCUGGUAGUCCACGCCGUAAACGUUGGGAACUAGGUGUUGGCGACAUUCCACGUCGUCGGUGCCGCAGCUAACGCAUUAAGUUCCCCGCCUGCAUGGGGAGUACGGCCGCAAGGCUAAAACUCAAAGGAAUUGACGGGGGCCCGCACAAGCAGCGGAGCAUGUGGCUUAAUUCGACGCAACGCGAAGAACCUUACCAAGGCUUGACAUAUACCGGUAAAGCAUCAGAGAUGGUGCCCCCCUUGUGGUCGGUAUACAGGUGGUGCAUGGGCUGUCGUCAGCUCGUGUCGUGAGAUGUUGGGUUAAGUCCCGCAACGAGCGCAACCCUUGUUCUGUGUUGCCAGCAUGCCUUUCGGGGUGAUGGGGACUCACAGGAGACUGCCGGGCUGGUCAACUCGGAGGAAGGUGGGGACGACGUCAAGUCAUCAUGCCCCUUAUGUCUUGGGCUGCACACGUGCU